This 712-nucleotide long non-coding RNA is filed under the name Helianthus annuus (common sunflower). RNAcentral describes it as "sRNA HanXRQr2_Chr11g0479481". Lineage: Eukaryota; Viridiplantae; Streptophyta; Magnoliopsida; Asterales; Asteraceae. The record is from RNAcentral.
GUAACACCCCCAAAAUACCACCUGCGGAAACCCCCGCGAGGCGUGUUACACAUCAGAGUCUGAGCCACCAAUCACAUUGAACCAAUAGAAAAUACUUAAUAAAACAUGUUAUCAAACCAAUAAUGUCGAGUAGCGGAAGCAUAUAAUAAAUUGUUUUGUAAUCGUUUCAUAAUAAUUCAAAACCAAAGUGUCAAUACUAGCAAUCUCAUAGCUUCGAUCCAUGACAACUCCAGCACUCCCAGAUAGCAAGUCCACACUCCACAGUUAACGACCUACAAGCAUGCAACAAGUGUGUCAGACUACGCUGGUGAGUUCAAGGUAUUGCGUACGUGUGAAGUUACCGGGUAUUAGUUAAGUCAACUCGUUGUAUGUUUCUGAUAUCGUUGUUAAUUCGUUUGUUGUACCGUAUGCAGCGUCAAUGAUGGGAAUGCCUAACUCCAAUGCCCCACAGGCAUUGGUAAAGUCAAGGUAUCAAACAACCUUGACCAACUGUAGGAGGUCUUAUAUCCGCGUUACAAGUUGUCCCAGUAAUUAGUUCACGCCCGUCCUUACGGCCCGGUGUGAGGGUGCCAAACCUAAUAGCGCUAUCAACUAAUUACCCCAUUGCCUUACAGGCAAUCCGGUAAAUGAUUGUUUCUAUGUUUCAGUUGUUUACCCCAAGUUUUCCUUCCAAAUGUUUAUCAGAUGUCCCAAACCACCGGGACGCAUGCUU